AAUGAAGUGGAUAUAAUUUGAAUACAUGUCUCUCCAUUCUUGGGAUGUGUCAAAAAGUGUCAUUAAUCCUAACGCCUUUCGGGUGAAAUGUUUGGUUUGGAGAAGGAAGCUGUGGUGUAUCAGGAGGCCGUGUGUGUUACGACCAGGGCGGAAAUAUGGUCGCACCCACCACGGGCCUAUCUUCAACCCUUUACGCCUUACGGAAAAUAUUAUUACCUUAGAGUUACGACUUGCAAUAGCUACAGUGGGAUAACUUACUUUCAGUAAGCCACAAAGCCACGUCAAGAUGACAUCCAGUUCAGUGAGGUUUCCGAGAAACCUUCGUGGUCAGAUAGUGUGGCAUUAUGAGGGACAAAACUGGGCAUCCAGCUAUUACGAACACAUUUUAAUUAUAACAAUCAACCGUUAUUUAAAUUUUAUUAGUGAAUUUCUUAGUGAUUAACUAUGUAAUGAGACAUCAUCAAGAAAACUGUUACGUUAUUUGGAAUUUAUUAUUCAAUUUUCUCCAUAUUUUCAGUUUCCUCUAUAAUAUAUUUAAGAAAGUCUUUUUAUUAACAGCUGAAAAAACACUGAUAAAAAAAC
Molecule: long non-coding RNA, 582 nt
Filed under: Androctonus crassicauda
Lineage: Eukaryota; Metazoa; Arthropoda; Arachnida; Scorpiones; Buthidae
Source: RNAcentral